This is a long non-coding RNA of Mus musculus (house mouse), 1071 nucleotides long. RefSeq annotates it as predicted gene 28722. The record is from RefSeq and is a predicted model, not a curated record. The transcript is spliced from 2 exons. Lineage: Eukaryota; Metazoa; Chordata; Mammalia; Rodentia; Muridae.
GUGUGUCCCCUAAGUCUGACUUGCACUGUGUGUCAGGCAGAUAUGUCCUGGGUAGUGUGCUCUGAACCAGAGUCCCUGCAUCUGCCCCACCCCAGCCAUAGGCUCACCAUCUUGUUCACUUAAGGGAACAAAGAGGUAACACCCAGAACUCUGAGCCUGCACACCCCUGGUGAUCCAGCUGUGGCAGCUCACCAUCUGAUUAUGGAGGCAAUUUAAAUGGCUGGAAUCCCAUGGUUUGCUGGGGCACGUCAAGACCCAGGCUUCCAGGUGUGUUCCCCGAAUCUGGACACCCUUCUUUGAGGAGCCCAGCCUGACUUCAGGAGCCUGCCUAAAUAGCAGGGAAGUUACACACAGCCAGAGGAAUUUCAAGGUCGGGAGAACAAACCUAUCCUGGGGAAGCCAGCAAAUUCCUUGCUGAUGGAGCCCUCUGAUUUAUCUGGAAGGAGAGGAAAUCACAGGCCUGCAUAGCAUAGAGUGAUAACCUUGGGUUAGUGCAAUAUAAACCUCAGGCGUUAUUUUCUGCAUCCCCGCCUGAAGGGACCUUGGUGUGUUAGUCCUGCAAAUAAAAGCCAAAGUUGUGUGACUGGUACCCAGAUGUCCUGGAGGCCCCUGGGCUUGGAGAAGACUUGUUCGAGGACCUGGGCCUCUGCAGCUCUACUCUGCUAUGCUCACACAGAGCUGAUACAUCUUAGCAAGCAACAGACAACCUGAGAGAGCAUGAAUCCCUUCUCUAUCUGGGGCAAAGCUUUUCCCUUCAAGAUGACUUCAAGGCAAAAUUUGAUUGAUUUUAAGCAGACACGUCAGAUGAUCAGACUCUGAAGAGUCACACUAGAAAGCUGAAGUUUUUCUUGGUACGCUGUCAUGAAGAUUUAGGUGGAGAGGUGGCUCAGAGGUUAAGAGCACUAGCUGCUCUUGUAGAGGACCCAGGUUCAGUUCCCAGCAGCCACAUCAGGUGGCUCACAACCAUCUGUAACCGCAGCUCCAGGGAGCCUAAGUCUCUGACCUCUGAGGCUGUCAUACAGAGACACUCAUAUACCUAUAAAUAAAUAAACAUAAGUUUUUAGAAAGCAA